UACAGGGGGUGCAAACGUUGCUCGGAAUCAUUGGGCGUAAAGCGCACGUAGGCGGUCUGUUAUGUCGGAUGUGAAAGCCCUUGGCUUAACUGAGGAAGUGCAUCCGAAACUGGCAGGCUAGAGUACUAAAGAGGGUCGCGGAAUUCCCGGUGUAGAGGUGAAAUUCGUAGAUAUCGGGAGGAACACCGGUGGCGAAGGCGGCGACCUGGGUAGAUACUGACGCUGAGGUGCGAAAGCCAGGGGAGCGAACGGG
Molecule: ribosomal RNA, 253 nt
Filed under: uncultured bacterium
Lineage: Bacteria
Description: partial 16S ribosomal RNA
Rfam family: Bacterial small subunit ribosomal RNA
Source: RNAcentral